Molecule: long non-coding RNA, 1678 nt
Organism: Pseudopipra pipra
Lineage: Eukaryota; Metazoa; Chordata; Aves; Passeriformes; Pipridae
Exons: 2
Source: RefSeq, a predicted model, not a curated record
UACAGGAAAGCAGAAUAAUGUGCAAAACCAAGAUGAAACAGAUGUGUCAUUACGAUUCAGACAGAAAUGUAAAUCAGCUGAAGGCAUCAGAACAAAAUGCCUUAACUGCCUGUCUUGUCGCUGCAGGGAUGGAUGUGGUUACAGCAGACAGAGGAAAAUCCAUUGAGACGUGUGCUUAUCUAUCAAUUGUACCAGCUGUUUCUGGUAUGCAGCAACUGACUGACCACAGUAAGGAAACAUGGAUGUAAUCAGUUAGCAAACCGCUCCUUUCUCAGCAAAGAUGAUAAGGAUUGUUGGCAAACCCACAGAGAGUUACGGGAAUAGAGGAAUUGGUGCGCUGAAGUCACUUCCUAUCACCCGGGAGUCCCUGGGCUCAGAGCAUUGUUUGCUUUCCUAGUAUGGGUCUCGGUGUUUGUCUGCACUAGUUCAGAUCUAUAAGAGCACUCACCCUGUCCCGGCACACAGAAGCCCACUCAGAGAGAUUGCCAACGCAGUUCUGUCUACCUCUGUGGGAAGGAUUCAGGCUGCCUGUGAGCAGAGAGACUGAUUCUUUACUACAUCUUUACACCGGCAAAACACCUUUCUGCAGAGGUAUUUUCAAAACCAGGCAUGACUUAAUCAAUUCUGGGAAGAGGCAUAUGCCAACAGAAACACUCUGUUGCCAACACAAACUGUGCUGCCACUAGAGGAGUAUCGGCAAUCCCACUCUUGUCAGCGUGGGGCCUCCACUUCACUGAUUAGGUGCUAUAUGGGUGGACAGUGCAGGAGGUUCCCAGCCAGUGAGGUCAGUGCUGAGGUGAGCCCCUUCUCCCUCAUCUCAAGAGGAAGUGGUGGCUAUUUCAGCUGCACCUGCAUCAACAGAGAAUUUACAGAAACUGGAGGUGAGCUCCUGAAUGCUCAGCUGGUUACUGUUGCAGUCUGUAGAUUGGAAAAUGGUCUGCUGCAUUGUACGUGGUCAGCACAGAUUUGAUGAUACUUUGGCAGUAUCUGGUGUCUUCUCUGAGGUCUUGACAGCCAACUCAAAGAGGGCUUCUGCUGCAGCCCUGCGUGCAACUAACUGCAGCCUAGCACUGAGGUUAGUAGAAUGCCACUAGAUCAAAGCUUCCUUACUGGGAAGGCUGGAGAGCCUUGACAAGGAUGAGGCAGAUCCGGUGCCAAAAAGCAUUGUGUUGCCUUGAUGUCAGCAUUUCAGGUCUAAAAAUGUGACUUGUAAAAGCGGGGGAAGCAAAAGGUUGAAUGCUACCUGCACUGCAUCCUGUUUAGCCAGACUUUGAGGAUAUAGAAAUUAAAUGUCCACAGAAGGAAAAAAAGACUUCUACUUUUCCUAGAUUUAUUGGGUGGGUUGUGUAUGCGAAAUUGAGCUCUAAUACAAAUCCCCAGUAGACAGUAUUUUAGACAGAAUGGCUUUGUUCUGAAUGUGUUUGUAAAUAUGUCUAUAUUUUUAAGACCUACCACUGUAAGAGACCCAAGAUGAUUUGUGAUUUCUGCAAUCUCAUCAAAGAGAGCAAGUGAGUGAUUCCAUGCGGUGGAGACAUACAGCCCAUGACUCAUAGCCCUGAGUCACAGCAUUGGGACACUUCAGCAUUCAGAAACACUAGUAGUGACAGAAAUCAGGAUGAUGAGCAAGCAGCUGUUACUCAUUCUCAGCUGGACACCAUAAGCAUGUUUGUACCAGUCA